GAUGAACGCUGGCGGCGUGCCUAACACAUGCAAGUCGAACGGAGUCCAGCCUUUAAGACCUUCGGGUUAAAGAGGGGAAGACUGAGUGGCGGACGGGUGAGUAACACGUGGGCAACCUGGCUCAUAGAGGGGGAUAACAGAGAGAAAUUUCUGCUAAUACCGCAUAAGCACACACUGCCGCAUGGCAGAGGGUGAAAAGAGAAUCGCUAUGAGAUGGACCCGCGUCUGAUUAGCCAGUUGGCAGGGUAAGAGCCUACCAAAGCGACGAUCAGUAGCCGAUCUGAGAGGAUGAACGGCCACAUUGGGACUGAGACACGGCCCAAACUCCUACGGGAGGCAGCAGUGGGGGAUAUUGCACAAUGGGGGGAACCCUGAUGCAGCGACGCCGCGUGAGUGAAGAAGUAUUUCGGUAUGUAAAGCUCUAUCAGCAGGGAAGAUAAUGACAGUACCUGAAUAAGAAGCCCCGGCUAACUACGUG
RNAcentral lists this ribosomal RNA (478 nucleotides) under uncultured bacterium. RNAcentral's name for it is "partial 16S ribosomal RNA". It matches the Rfam family "Bacterial small subunit ribosomal RNA", at positions 28 to 507 of the family's 1533-position model. The record is from RNAcentral.